CGCGGCCUAUCAGCUUGUUGGUGGGGUAACGGCCUACCAAGGCGAUUACGGGUAGCCGGCCUGAGAGGGCGACCGGCCACACUGGGACUGAGACACGGCCCAGACUCCUGCGGGAGGCAGCAGUGGGGAAUAUUGCGCAAUGGGCGAAAGCCUGACGCAGCGACGCCGCGUGGGGGAUGACGGCCUUCGGGUUGUAAACCUCUUUUACCACCAACGCAGGCUCCGGGUUUUCUCGGGGUUGACGGUAGGUGGGGAAUAAGGACCGGCUAACUACGUGCCAGCAGCCGCGGUAAUACGUAGGGUCCGAGCGUUGUCCGGAAUUAUUGGGCGUAAAGAGCUCGUAGGCGGCGUGUCGCGUCUGCUGUGAAAGACCGGGGCUUAACUCCGGUUCUGCAGUGGAUACGGGCAUGCUAGAGGUAGGUAGGGGAGACUGGAAUUCCUGGUGUAGCGGUGAAAUGCGCAGAUAUCAGGAGGAACACCGGUGGCGAAGGCGGGUCUCUGGGCCUUACCUGACGCUGAGGAGCGAAAGCAUGGGGAGCGAACAGGAUUAGAUACCCUGGUAGUCCAUGCCGUAAACGUUGGGCGCUAGGUGUGGGGACUUUCCACGGUUUCCGCGCCGUAGCUAACGCAUUAAGCGCCCCGCCUGGGGAGUACGG
RNAcentral lists this ribosomal RNA (656 nucleotides) under uncultured bacterium. RNAcentral's name for it is "bacterial SSU rRNA". It matches the Rfam family "Bacterial small subunit ribosomal RNA", at positions 232 to 885 of the family's 1533-position model. The record is from RNAcentral.